This 275-nucleotide long non-coding RNA is filed under the name Coturnix japonica (Japanese quail). RNAcentral describes it as "lncRNA (ENSCJPG00005011292.1)". Lineage: Eukaryota; Metazoa; Chordata; Aves; Galliformes; Phasianidae. The record is from RNAcentral.
GAAAAAUCAGCAUAUUACCCAAAUAGUCCACAUGUUAAUCUCUCAUCACGAAGGCUAAAUGAGAGCACACCGGUUAAUUUAAACUGAAUAACAGCUCUUUUUGAACACAGCAAACAAUGAAGAAAUUUCACCUGAGAGAGAACUGAAGUAGAAAAGCAAAGAAAGUGCCCAUGCUAGAGCCAAGCCCAAGCCCUAAACCUGCUCUGUGGCCAACUCCAACUCAAGCACACUGAAACUCAGCUGACCUCUGAGAAGUCCUGCCCAGGAGCAUCUAC